This 266-nucleotide long non-coding RNA is filed under the name Cyanistes caeruleus (blue tit). RNAcentral's name for it is "lncRNA (ENSCCEG00000018546.1)". The record is from RNAcentral. Lineage: Eukaryota; Metazoa; Chordata; Aves; Passeriformes; Paridae.
AAAACUUUCAACUAUUUCUAUUUCUUCUGUGGCAUUUCAAAGUGCACUGUACCUCUCAGACCAGAUCUUAGUCGUAGAGGAAAUCUGAUCUGCUGCAGCACGGAAACAUCAGCCGUGGGAUGGCGAGACAAAUUCCUUAGGGAGCUGCCUGUAAGUCUGGUCAACAUUUAAGAUGAAAAGUUUUGCAUUUUCUUUGGCAGGAUGUUGCAUGCAGAGUUUAGCUGUAUGAGGCAAUUGCUGAGGCAAUAAGGGAAUAUUUAGGAGCA